RNAcentral lists this ribosomal RNA (1465 nucleotides) under Aphanomyces astaci. Its description in RNAcentral is "SSU rRNA". The stretch from base 2 to 931 matches the Rfam family "Eukaryotic small subunit ribosomal RNA", at positions 4 to 1116 of the family's 1831-position model. The record is from RNAcentral. Lineage: Eukaryota; Oomycota; Saprolegniomycetes; Saprolegniales; Verrucalvaceae.
CCUGGUUGAUCCUGCCAGUAGUCAUAUGCUUGUCUCAAAGAUUAAGCCAUGCAUGUCUAAGUAUAAACAACUUUGUACUGUGAAACUGCGAAUGGCUCAUUAUAUCAGUUAUAGUCUACUCGACAGUACCUUACUACUUGGAUAACCGUAGUAAUUCUAGAGCUAACAUGCAUAAAUACCCAACUGCUUGUCGGACGGGUAGCAUUUAUUAGAUUGAAACAAAUUCACUUCGGUGAUUUUGUGUUGAAUCAUAAUAACUGUGCUGAUAGCUCUAAGCGAUAAGUCGAUUGAGUUUCUGCCCUAUCAGCUUUGGAUGGUAGGAUAUGGCCCUACCAUGGCGUUAAGGGGUAACGGGGAAUUAUGGUUUGAUUCCGGAGAAGGAGCCUUAGAAACGGCUACCACAUCCAAGGAAGGUAGCAGGCGCGUAAAUUACCCAAUCCUGACACAGGGAGGUAGUGACAAUAAAUAACAAUGCCGGGCUAAUUUAGUCUGGUAAUUGGAAUGAGAACAAUUUAAAUCCCUUAACGAGGAUCAAUUGGAGGGCAAGUCUGGUGCCAGCAGCCGCGGUAAUUCCAGCUCCAAUAGCGUAUAUUAAAGUUGUUGCAGUUAAAAAGCUCGUAGUUGGAUUUCUGGUUUGAGCGUCCGGUCGACUUUAUGUCAGUACUAUGGAUGUUUGGGCCAUAUUUUGUGAGGAUGCCUUUCUGCCAUUGAGUUGGUGGUUAUGUGGACUUGCAUCGUUUACUGUGAAAAAAUUAGAGUGUUUAAAGCAGGCAUUUGCUCAUUUGAAUACAUUAGCAUGGAAAAAUAAGAUACGGCCUUGGUGGUCUAUUUUGUUGGUUUGCACGCCAGGGUAAUGAUUAAUAUGGCACCCUUUACGGUUCAAGUCCUCACCUUGUCAGAGACUUGAAUAAAAACCAACAUACGACAUUUGAUCUUUGUAUUGAAAAUGAAGAGUCGUCUACCAAAGAGAGCCUACGAAGUAUUGAACUUUUAACCAAUACAGCUGUAAGACGACUAAUGUCGGAUAGAUUUGUCGUAUGUGUAAGACGACUAAUAGAGCUCUUUCGAAAACCUGUUGAGCUAGAGUUUGAGUUUCGCCAUGUGUUUUCCAGUGAUUUGAUUGGCCAAUGCAAAAAUACUGUAUUUGAAACGCAACUCCAGUUGACACAAGUCGGCCGAUGUCUCAACGACGAUUUGAGUUAGAGUUUCGCUGGAGUCAGGUGUGACACAUGGCGCGUCAUGGUCAUAUGCAAAUUAUAACCAAUCAAACUACAGAACUCCUGCACGUGGAAAAGAAUGCAUGCGAGAAGUCAUAAUAUCAACAUGAACAAUAUGUUCGGUAAGCACCUAAGUAGGUCAUAUCUCUUGAAAUUUGUAUCUCUAACAGAUAAGAUAAUUUUGUCUACUAUGGGCACUCAUGGGUUGUGUCAAACUCAAACUCUUGGGGUCUUCGAAAGAGCCAUAA